Molecule: ribosomal RNA, 256 nt
Filed under: uncultured archaeon
Lineage: Archaea
Description: partial 16S ribosomal RNA
Rfam family: Bacterial small subunit ribosomal RNA
Source: RNAcentral
UAAUACGUAGGGAGCAAGCGUUGUUCGGAUUUACUGGGCGUAAAGGGCGCGUAGGCGGCGUGUUAAGUCAGCUGUGAAAUCUCUGAGCUCAACUCAGAACGGCCAGCUGAUACUGAUGUGCUAGAGUGCAGAAGGGGCAACCGGAAUUCUUGGUGUAGCGGUGAAAUGCGUAGAUAUCAAGAGGAACACCUGAGGCGAAGGCGGGUUGCUGGGCUGACACUGACGCUGAGGCGCGAAAGCCAGGGGAGCAAACGGG